RNAcentral lists this ribosomal RNA (492 nucleotides) under uncultured bacterium. Its description in RNAcentral is "partial 16S ribosomal RNA". It matches the Rfam family "Bacterial small subunit ribosomal RNA", at positions 29 to 507 of the family's 1533-position model. The record is from RNAcentral.
AGUGAACGCUGGCGGUAGGCCUAACACAUGCAAGUCGAACGGCAGCACAGUAAGAGCUUGCUCUUACGGGUGGCGAGUGGCGGACGGGUGAGGAAUACAUCGGAAUCUACUUUUUCGUGGGGGAUAACGUAGGGAAACUUACGCUAAUACCGCAUACGACCUACGGGUGAAAGCAGGGGAUCUUCGGACCUUGCGCGAUUGAAUGAGCCGAUGUCGGAUUAGCUAGUUGGCGGGGUAAAGGCCCACCAAGGCGACGAUCCGUAGCUGGUCUGAGAGGAUGAUCAGCCACACUGGAACUGAGACACGGUCCAGACGCCUACGGGAGGCAGCAGUGGGGAAUAUUGGACAAUGGGCGCAAGCCUGAUCCAGCCAGACCGCGUGGGUGAAGAAGGCCUUCGGGUUGUAAAGACCUUUUGUUGGGAAAGAAAAGCAGCAGGUUAAUACCCCGCUGUUCUGACGGUACCCAAAGAAUAAGCACCGGCUAACUUCGUG